Molecule: non-coding RNA, 139 nt
Filed under: Dehalogenimonas lykanthroporepellens
Lineage: Bacteria; Bacillati; Chloroflexota; Dehalococcoidia; Dehalococcoidales; Dehalococcoidaceae
Description: MoCo sequence
Rfam family: Molybdenum/Tungsten riboswitch aptamer (Moco RNA motif)
Source: RNAcentral
GGUGCGAAAUCUCUUCGAGUUGCGGUGUCUACCAUCAGGUAAGAUCAGGAUACCGGAACCGGAAAGCCGCCAGGCUUCGAGGGUGUAGGGUGGAAACGCCGACACCUCCCGCCAGGAAAGGAGAGUUGAGCCAUGCCAA